RNAcentral lists this ribosomal RNA (369 nucleotides) under Triticum aestivum (bread wheat). Its description in RNAcentral is "partial small subunit ribosomal RNA". Lineage: Eukaryota; Viridiplantae; Streptophyta; Magnoliopsida; Poales; Poaceae. The record is from RNAcentral.
AUGAUUUUGGGGAAAGUUCCUGGUGGUCCUAUCUCGGAUCAGUUCCUUUGCUUUCCUGCUAACCUUCUUUUCCUUCUUCAUCAGCAAUUGGAUGUUAAUCUGCUAUGGGAAGCGGUGGUGCAUCAAGGUGCAAGGCAGCAACGACAUGUUCAUAGUACGCUAAAGGAUGAACUCCUACUUUUUCUGAUGCUAGCUCCUUGCUGCAGAUAUACCAGCCUGCUUACAUCUCCCAAGAUAUCCUCUUGGUCAAGGCAAUUGCACAUGAUGAAGCCACUCAUUUUAGUUGUAGGAUAUGAAUUGUGCUUAAACAUGAGUGCUCGCUCGCCGAACGUUGGCCCUCGGAUGAAUUCGACGCUUGAAUUGAGCUGA